This 253-nucleotide ribosomal RNA is filed under the name uncultured bacterium. Its description in RNAcentral is "partial 16S ribosomal RNA". It matches the Rfam family "Bacterial small subunit ribosomal RNA", at positions 524 to 776 of the family's 1533-position model. The record is from RNAcentral.
UACGGGGGGGGCAAGCGUUGUUCGGAAUUACUGGGCGUAAAGGGCUCGUAGGCGGCCAACUAAGUCAGACGUGAAAUCCCUCGGCUUAACCGGGGAACUGCGUCUGAUACUGGAUGGCUUGAGGUUGGGAGAGGGAUGCAGAAUUCCAGGUGUAGCGGUGAAAUGCGUAGAUAUCUGGAGGAACACCGGUGGCGAAGGCGGCAUCCUGGACCAAUUCUGACGCUGAGGAGCGAAAGCCAGGGGAGCAAACGGG